Molecule: ribosomal RNA, 511 nt
Filed under: uncultured fungus
Lineage: Eukaryota; Fungi
Description: eukaryotic LSU rRNA
Rfam family: 5.8S ribosomal RNA (bases 155-308)
Source: RNAcentral
AAGUCGUAUCAAGGUUUCCGUAGGUGAACCUGCGGAAGGAUCAUUAGUGAACGCCCUCACGGGCUUAUAACUAUUCCAAACCUCUGUGAACCGUGCCCUUCGGGGCUAUUUUACAAACAUGGUGUAAUGAACGUCAUAUAUCAUAACAAAACAAAACUUUCAACAACGGAUCUCUUGGCUCUCGCAUCGAUGAAGAACGCAGCGAAAUGCGAUAAGUAAUGUGAAUUGCAGAAUUCAGUGAAUCAUCGAAUCUUUGAACGCACCUUGCGCCCUCUGGUAUUCCGGAGGGCAUGCCUGUUUGAGUGUCAUGUAGACUCAAUCCCUCGGGUUUCCGAGGAGAUUGGACUUGGGUGUUGCCGCUCUGCCGGCUCGCCUUAAAAGACUUAGCGGGAUAGCACCGUAGUCGGCGUAAUAAGUUUCGUCGGUGAAGGAUGUGAUGACUGCUUACAAUCGCCCUCGGGCAAUUUUUGACUCUGACCUCAAAUCACGUAGGACUACCCGCUGAACUUAA